UUUCUCCUCCCAGGAGGUUCUCACUUCCGUAAAACGCCUCUUGGCUAAGCCCUAGUUUCUUGAGCGAAGAAUUCAGAUUCACCUAAGCUCUCGACGAAUCUCUCAUUGGAAAAGCUUCUGGAGAAGGUCAGGAAGGUUUCAAGUAGCACAAAUUUCUCCUCGCCGAGCCGCUUCGUCGUCUCCGUUCACGGUUUUGCAGUUGAUUCGUAGUGAAACUUAGGUUACUUGGUUUUGUCAGUUGGUUUCUCUUGUUGAUUUAAUAUGGAAGAACCAAAGCAGAAGUCUUCUAAGAGGGAGGACUCUGAAAAGGAAGUAGAAGAGCCAAGGAGGAGGAGCCACCGUGACAGAGAUGAGCACCGAGACCGUGAUAAGGAGAAGAAUGGAGAGAGGCACAGGGAAAGAGACAGGGAACACUACCGUGACAAGAAAGACCGCCACGAUAGGGAGAAGAGUACUGAUGAUAAGUAUAGGGAGAGAAAUAGAGAUAGGGAAAGGGAAAAACACAAGGAUAGGCAUAAAGAGAAAGAGCGGGAAAAGAGCAGCAGGGAUAAGGUCUCUAAAGACAGAGAAAAGGAUAGGUCUGACAGAGAGAGUGCUAAGGAGAAGGAAGACAGAGAGAGGGAGAGAGAGAAAGAGAAGGAGAAGGAUCGCGAAAGAGAGAAAGAGAAGGAGAAGGAUCGCGAAAGAGAGAAAGAGAAGGAGAGGGAUCGAGACAGAGAGAAAGAGAAGGAGAGGGAACGCGAAAGAGAAAAGGAGAGAGAGAAAGAAAAGGAGAGGGAUAAGGAAAGGGAGAGAAGAGAGAGAGAUAGGAGAGAAAAAGAUAGGGAGGAGAGGGAAAGGAGUAGGGAGAAGAGGGUUCGUGAAAAAGAGCGCAGGCGUGAUUAUAGCAGUGACGAUGAUGACGAUGAUGAUGUUGAUGUAAGAGAUCGUGAAAGAAAGAGGCGAAGGAGAGAGAAUGAUCACAAGAGCAGGGAUCAUGAGCGAAGCAAGAAACCUAUUAAGCUCAAAGAUGACAGUGAAGAUGGUAGCCCACUGAGAAGAAGUGAUGAAGAAUCAUCAGAAAAGAAACAGAAGAAUCUAGAAGAAGAACAAGCUGAGGAACAAAGGAAACUGGAAGAGGAGAUGGAGAAGCGAAGAAGGAGAGUUCAGGAAUGGCAGGAGUUGAGAAGAAAGAAGGAGGAGUCAGAGAGAGAAAAGCUUGGAGUUGCAGCAAUUACUGAUGAACCCAAGUCAGGCAAGACUUGGACUUUGGAAGGGGAAUCUGAUGAUGAAGAUGCUGCUCUGGAGGAAAAACAAGGCAUGGAUAUGGAUGUGGAUGGACUUGCUAAGCCUUUGGACGUGGAUGGAGUUGGCCCUGUAAGUUCCAAUGAUGUACCUGAUUUAAAAAUUUCACAGAAUGGUGGUAAUGAUGCUUCUAUGGAUGAUGAUGAAAUCGAUCCAUUGGAUGCAUUCAUGAAUUCUAUGGUGUUGCCUGAAGUUGAGAAGCUUAAGAAUGCUGAGGCUCCUUCUGAAGAUAUUAAGUCUGGUUUGAAAGAUAAUACUGUUAUUUACAAUGAAGAGAAGCCUAAAAAAGGAGUUAAAAAAGCUAUGGGAAGAAUCAUACCUGGUGAAGAUUCUGAUUCAGAUUAUGGUGAAGUUGAAAAUGAUGAAGAUCCUUUGGAGGAUGAAGAUGAUGAAGAAUUUAUGAAACGGGUGAAGAAGACCAAGGCUGAGAAACUAUCCAUAGUUGACCACUCAAAAAUUGAUUAUCCUUCUUUCCGAAAGAAUUUUUAUAUUGAAGUUAGGGAAAUUUCAAGAAUGACUCCUGAAGAGGUUGCUGCUUACAGAAAGCAAUUGGAGUUGAAGUUACACGGAAAGGAUGUUCCAAAGCCAGUUAAAACAUGGCAUCAGACUGGAUUGUCCACUAAGAUCUUGGACACAAUAAAGAAACUGAAUUAUGAAAAGCCGAUGCCAAUCCAGGCUCAGGCGUUGCCAAUAAUCAUGAGUGGUCGAGAUUGCAUUGGUAUUGCAAAGACGGGUUCUGGAAAAACUCUAGCUUUUGUGUUGCCAAUGUUGAGACAUAUUAAGGAUCAGCCUCCACUUGUUCCUGGAGAUGGUCCUAUUGGGCUUGUAAUGGCCCCUACAAGAGAGCUUGUGCAGCAAAUACAUAGUGAUAUAAGAAAGUUUGCAAAGGUUAUGGGCCUUAGUUGUGUGCCUGUGUAUGGAGGUUCAGGUGUUGCUCAACAAAUUAGUGAGUUGAAACGAGGAGCAGAGAUUGUUGUUUGCACUCCGGGUAGGAUGAUUGACAUACUUUGUACUAGUGGAGGAAAAAUUACAAAUCUGCGAAGAGUCACUUAUUUGGUCAUGGAUGAAGCUGAUCGGAUGUUUGAUAUGGGCUUUGAACCUCAGAUCACUAGAAUUGUUCAAAAUACACGUCCGGACCGCCAAACUGUACUGUUUUCCGCCACUUUUCCUCGCCAGGUUGAGACAUUGGCACGCAAAGUGUUGAACAAACCUGUUGAAGUUCAGGUAGGUGGAAGGAGUGUUGUGAACAAAGAUAUUACCCAAUUAGUUGAGGUGAGGCCAGAGAGUGAAAGGUUCCUUAGAUUACUGGAAAUACUUGGAGAAUGGUAUGAAAAGGGGAAAAUUUUGAUAUUUGUCCAUACACAGGAGAAAUGUGAUGCUUUGUUUAAGGAAUUGCUAAAGCAUGGUUAUCCUUGCCUCUCACUUCACGGGGCAAAAGAUCAGACUGAUCGUGAGUCCACCAUUAUGGAUUUUAAAAGUAAUGUAUGCAACUUGUUGAUUGCAACCAGUAUUGCUGCUAGAGGUUUAGAUGUAAAGGAACUUGAGCUGGUGAUAAACUUUGAUGCUCCAAACCAUUAUGAGGACUAUGUUCAUCGUGUUGGACGGACUGGGCGAGCUGGUAGAAAAGGUUGUGCUAUCACUUUUAUAUCUGAGGAGGAUGCAAGAUAUGCACCUGAUCUUGUAAAAGCUUUAGAACUGUCUGAACAAGUUGUUCCUGAUGACCUGAAAGCACUUGCUGAUAGUUUCAUGGCAAAAGUUAAUCAGGGACUUGAACAAGCUCAUGGAACUGGUUAUGGAGGUAGUGGCUUUAAGUUUAACGAAGAGGAAGAUGAAGUGAGGAGAGCUGCAAAGAAAGCACAAGCAAAAGAAUAUGGUUUUGAGGAAGACAAAUCAGAUUCAGAGGAUGAAGAUGAAGGAAUCAGAAAAGCAGGUGCUGACGUCUCUCAGCAGGUGGCUGCCCUUGCUCAGGCAGCUGCUCUUGCUGCUGCUACCAAAGCAAAUGUCGCUCAACUUCCGGGUUCAGUCCAAUUUCCUCAGCUACCGCCUCAUGGUGGAGUACCUGGUCCUCUUGCCAAUAUUCUUCCAGGAAAUGGACUGCUAAUUGCCCCUAAUGAUAUGUCAGCUACUGCAGCAGCAUUUCUUGCUGCCAAGAAUUUGCAGCAGAACUUGGCUAGGCUUCAGAAUGAGGUCAUGCCUGAGCAUUAUGAAGCAGAAUUGGAGAUAAAUGAUUUUCCCCAAAAUGCUCGUUGGAAGGUGACACACAAAGAGACACUAGGUCCUAUUUCAGAAUGGACUGGAGCUGCCAUCACUACUAGGGGUUAUUAUAUCCCACCUGGAAAGGUACCUGGACCUGGGGAAAGAAAAUUAUACUUGUUCAUUGAGGGUCCUACAGAACAAUCUGUCAAGAGGGCAAAAGCUGAGCUAAAACGUGUUUUGGAGGACAUAACAAUGCAAGCAACCUCACUUCCGGGUUCAGCCCAGCCAGGACGAUACUCGGUUGUUUAAGAUUUCCCUUUGGUGGACUUCUAUUGGUCGCUGCUCCUUGUUUACACAUUUAGUUAAUUUUCAUUAAAGGGAGAGAAGAAAACACAAUGUAUGUGCUAUGACCUGGAUGCUGUGGAUUUUCAAGUUAACCUGAUGGCCUAAUGAUGCAAGGCAGGUUUUUUGGUCACUGGUAAGAGGGUGAGAAGGGUGUGAAGAAGAUUCAGAGUUGUCUUAAUAUCCUUGUGGUAAGCAAUUCUUUGAUCAAACAUUUACACUAUUAGAUUGAAUAUAGCUUUCAAGAACUAUAAUGUUUACUUCAUCGGUGAGUUUAAUCUUGUGAAUGUUCUUCACUUUUACUUUGUAAUUGUUUCACCAUAUUACUGAUCUUUUGAAUGCAGAAAGUGAGCUUGAUUUUUGCUCACACCAUGACUGAAAUACUCAGUACUGGUAUAGAAGUCCACUAGUCUCUGUUUGAUUUCUUGCCGUACCAUUUACAUAAUUUUAUUUCAGUCCUUUAAGGCUUUAAUCCCUAUGUUCAUAUAUUCCAGCAAUGAAGACUGAGUAGAGAGGAUAUCCAGCCAUCAAUUAUUAUCUCUGAUUGAGGAAAACACUCUACUUUGAUCCACCUUGUUUCUUUAACAAACAUUUUCUUUUAUGGUUUGUUUUGUUUCCAACUUUACAUUAUAGACAAGAUGGAUAUUCCUAUGAUUUAGUGAUAGAAUAACCCCAAAUUCUACCCA
Molecule: RNA transcript, 4508 nt
Organism: Ipomoea triloba (trilobed morning glory)
Lineage: Eukaryota; Viridiplantae; Streptophyta; Magnoliopsida; Solanales; Convolvulaceae
Gene name: DEAD-box ATP-dependent RNA helicase 42
Exons: 4
Source: RefSeq, a predicted model, not a curated record